This 408-nucleotide long non-coding RNA is filed under the name Setaria viridis. RNAcentral describes it as "long non-coding RNA (SVIR_LNC001941)". Lineage: Eukaryota; Viridiplantae; Streptophyta; Magnoliopsida; Poales; Poaceae. The record is from RNAcentral.
AUAGAUGGACACAACCUGGAGGGAUUAUGCUGUCUAGCGUUCCGUCUUUUUCCAUCCAGCAGAAAAGGUACUGUAAGGGGACUUGUCCCGUUCUCGGUUAUCACUACAAACUACUAUAAACAAAGGCACACUACAUUCUUUACUAGUUCACAUAUGUCUAAUAUGCGGAAAUAUAGAAAUUGAAAAUUAAAAAUAAAGUAACUGGGUGACCUUCGUCCAAAAGGGGUGUUUCCUUUUGUGCGUUGAUCUUGUUAUUUUCGAUUACACGGACCACACUUACACACAUAACAUACUAACGUACCUGCAAAUAUGCACUACCAGUUAAACUCUAUUUCCUCUAUUUUAAAAUGUAGAUUAUUUUAACUUUUCUAGAUAUAUAGAUUUUGCUACGUACUCCUUCCAUCCCCA